Long non-coding RNA from Vicia villosa (hairy vetch), 2019 nucleotides. RefSeq lists it as uncharacterized. NCBI's taxonomy places the organism in Eukaryota, Viridiplantae, Streptophyta, Magnoliopsida, Fabales, Fabaceae. The record is from RefSeq and is a predicted model, not a curated record. The transcript is spliced from 6 exons.
UCUUCUUAAUUUUUUAGGGUUCCUGACCACCACUCUCAAUUUCACAAACCCAAACCCUAGCAGCUUCACAUUUCCUGACCACUUUCAACCCUCACAAUAUUGAAAAUGAAAAAUAAGAGGGAUUUAGGGUAAGAGUACCUGUGACUAUCGGGCUUCACGUUCCCUCUUCUUCUUCAACAUGAACGGUGGCCACCUACCACUCUGAUCAAAUCUCGCCGCUGUGAUUCGUUCGCAUAUCGAUUCCUCCAUCUCAAUCGAUCCCUCUCUGUUCUCUCAAUCUCGAAGCCUCUGAUCUCAUCUCCGAUUCUAUUCUCGACAUCACUCGCUCCUCAUCUCCGCUUGCUCUCUCAUCAUGAACGGCGCGCGACGGAGAACUCCACCUUCUCCGAUGAAAUAUCAAAUUACCUCCGGGGACAUUGCCCUCAAUCUCCUCUCCGCCUCUCAAUUUCGUCUCUCAAUUGAUUCAAUCCCUCGAUUCUCUCCGCUCAGUUCCGAAUCGUUGUUGUUAUGAUGAUGGAGGUCGAGCGAAGUUGUUGAAGCUGAAAGAUGAUGACGAACGUGAUUGUUGUUGUGAUAUGGUUGUUGAAUUGUUCUUGAUAUUAUGAUCUAAUGUUGUUUGAUGCAGAUGCGUGGAGAUGGUUGUGGGGAUGUGAAUCAGUCUGUUGAAGAUUGUUGAGUUUUUUCUGGUUUUUUGAUCAAGAUUGGUACAAAGAUGAAGGUGAUGAUGAAAGUGUGAUGAAGAUUCAAGAGCAGAGUUGAUUUCUGAUUGAAGAUGAUGUUGAUUUCAGAAGAUUGAAAGUGUGGAGAAGAUGAAGAAGAUGGAUGGAGAAUGGUGGGUAGAUGGAUGGAGAAGAAGGUUCAAAGGAUGAUGAAGAUUGGAGAAGGUGAUUGAAGAUUUCAGAAUUGAUGGAGAAGGUUGAUUGAAAAUGGUUAAAGAAGAGAAUCUGAAUUGGAGGAAAAAGUCCCUUUUUUAUAGAGGUUGAUGAAGCUGUGACAGUUAGAGGUCAGUUAUAGCUUGAGCUUGUUAGUUCUUACUGUUUCAACUGAACCCUGAAUUGUAUGCAAUCGUGUGAUGAGAUUGUGAGGCCUUGAUUGUGCAAGUUGUUGAGUUUUUCUUUUGAACUGAUGUGUGCAAGUUUGUGACUGAUGUAAACACUUGGUAUCGAUUUAUGUGUGGAAUUCUGAAGUGGAACUUGAGGUGAUGAAGGUUCUGAAGAUUACAGGGAGAAUUGAGAAUGGCGGUGAUCGAAGAUUCUCAAGAAAAUUUGUUACAGUUAUGCCUGUCUGUUAUAGGAUGGAAAGUGAAUUUGGUUGAGUCGUUUCGGAUUUAAUUGCAGGCACGGUUUAAUUGCAGCUCCGGUCCUCUUUUGGUUUCAAAUUGCAGGUACUGCACUAUAUGGCUUUACGGAUCGAUACUGCAAGCUGGUGUAUGCGGGCAGCAGGCUGCUUUAUUGUGUUGGAUUUUGUUUAUGAGUAUUUCAACGACCAAGAUAUAGAAGUAGCGUUGAUGUUAACUUGACAAGUAUAAUGGGCUUGGUGGCAGUCACAUGGCUGAAUCGUUUAAGAAGGCAUCUUCCAGCCAUACAUAAAAGCUCUGUACAACGUGAAAAGUAUUAAAGAACACACGUGUUUUUAUGGAGAAACUUUUGGUGAUGGGUGGAGACGAAGAAGAUUGUGAUGAAGAUAUGGAAGAAGCUUGUGAUGAUCAUGAAGAUGUGGAAGAAGGUUGUGCUGAAGAUGUGGAAGAAGGUUGUCCUGAAGAUGUGGAAGAAGAACAAGGAGAAGAUCAAGAAGAAUAGUUGUGUUUUAUAUUACUAGCUAGCUAGUUCUUAGAACUUUUUUUGUUAUUUUGGGAUGACUCUUUGAGAGAAACUUGUGUUUCAUUUAGCUCUUGUUUUGAAUCCCAUGGUUGUUUUGAAUUUUGAAUCUGUGAUGACAUCAAAACUUAGUAUCCAACUUAUUAGUGGCACUACAAAAAAAACUUACUUUUGACGUUAAUGUUAAUUUGCUUGUAAUCAA